Long non-coding RNA from Camellia sinensis, 615 nucleotides. RefSeq lists it as uncharacterized. The record is from RefSeq and is a predicted model, not a curated record. Lineage: Eukaryota; Viridiplantae; Streptophyta; Magnoliopsida; Ericales; Theaceae.
AUGGUUUUUAUAUGCAUCUUAAAGGAUGUCCUUGGCAACUUUUUUCUAUGGUAAGACAUUUUGCGUUCCUUUUAUUUGUGUAUCACAAAUAUGAAUAUUUGGUUCCUUUCAGAGGGUUCAAACGACUCAACUUUUUAUUGGGUUCUUUUAAUGAUGUUUAUCUUCCAUUUGUUUCAUGUGUAAUAAACAUUUGAAUUUUUGUUGUUAAUAUUGAUUGCAAUUUCCGCACCUCUAAAAUACUAAGUAUAUUUCUUGAGAAAAGAUUGUCUUCUUGUUAAGAGAUUGACAUUGGAUUGAAUCUGUGUUUCUGUUUUGUAUUUGACUGGGUUUAAAAUAGUCACAACUACAUGUUGCAGGUAUAUAUAUACAUAAAUUACUUUUUUCAAACCUAGCAGAAACUAGGACUUGUUCUUCUCAUGGCUACUAAGAAGUUUAUCUCCCGAGGAUAUGCUAUGCUAUUUCAAAGAAGAUUAUCACCUCUUGAUCCAGGAAUUUAUCAAAUGGUUUCAUGACAGAAGAGAGCUCUCCUGAUGCUGCAUCAGAGGAGUUGGGUAAUGAGUACUUUAAAUCGAAGUUUGAAUAAGCAAUUGAUAGCUAUUCUAGGAGCGUUGCAUU